This 136-nucleotide small nucleolar RNA is filed under the name Triticum aestivum (bread wheat). RNAcentral's name for it is "Small nucleolar RNA Z247". It matches the Rfam family "Small nucleolar RNA Z247". From Rfam's summary of the family: Z247 is a member of the C/D class of snoRNA which contain the C (UGAUGA) and D (CUGA) box motifs. Most of the members of the box C/D family function in directing site-specific 2'-O-methylation of substrate RNAs. The record is from Rfam by way of RNAcentral. Lineage: Eukaryota; Viridiplantae; Streptophyta; Magnoliopsida; Poales; Poaceae.
CUCUCCGAUGGUGAGAUCACAUCUCACAUCCUCGCUGGACUCGAUCUCGAGUAUAAUCCAGUGGUCUCCGCGUUGGCCGCCCGGGUGGAGCCGGUUACUGUCCCUGAACUCUACAGUCAACUUCUCUCCUUUGAUG